AACGAACGUUAGCGGCGCGCCUAACACAUGCAAGUCGCACGAGAAAGGGCUUCGGCCCCGGUACAGUGGCGCACGGGUGAGUAACACGUAGGCAAUCUCCCCUUGAGUGGUGGAUAACCUUCCGAAAGGAGGGCUAAUACAGCAUGAGACCACGGGUUCGCAGAACUUGUGGCCAAAGCGGACCUCUUCAUGAAAGUUCGCGCUUGAGGAUGAGCCUGCGGCCCAUCAGCUAGUUGGUAGGGUAAUGCCUACCAAGGCGAAGACGGGUAGCUGGUCUGAGAGGACGAACAGCCACACUGGAACUGAGACACGGUCCAGACUCCUACGGGAGGCAGCAGUGGGGAAUCUUGCGCAAUGGGCGAAAGCCUGACGCAGCGACGCCGCGUGAGCGAUGAAGGCCUUCGGGUUGUAAAGCUCUGUGGGGAGAGACGAAUAAGGUGCAGCUAAUACCUGCAUCGAUGACGGUAUCUCCUUAGCAAGCACCGGCUAACUCUGUGCCAGCCGCCGCCGUAA
RNAcentral lists this ribosomal RNA (513 nucleotides) under uncultured bacterium. RNAcentral describes it as "partial 16S ribosomal RNA". It matches the Rfam family "Bacterial small subunit ribosomal RNA", at positions 29 to 523 of the family's 1533-position model. The record is from RNAcentral.